CCUUAAGAGCAGGGAUUGUGUCUUUUACAGGUAUAUUCCGGGUUGCGGCCACUCAGCAGUGCGUGCAACCCAUGGGUACGUCCCGCACCACUGGCUGACUUAUUAAGGCAGACAUAAGCCCGCUCCCCACAUUACAUCCUAUCAGAGCAGGUUACGUAGAACCCUUUGUGUGCCAGCUUGAGCCACUCAGAAGAAAGGUUGUAUGUCAAUGAAUACUAUGGAUUAAGUGAUUGAUUAUGGAUCAAUGCUAAUGUACUUGAUUUGAUUGUGUGUAGGUGAGUAAUGUUCAUUUCUUGGCUUUCUCUCUAGCCUUUCUUAAAGGAGCUCAAACCACUUUUCAGAUAUGAUCUCUUUUUUUCUAGCUCUCCUUUCUCCCGCUAGACUA
This is a long non-coding RNA of Ornithorhynchus anatinus (platypus), 385 nucleotides long. RefSeq lists it as uncharacterized. Lineage: Eukaryota; Metazoa; Chordata; Mammalia; Monotremata; Ornithorhynchidae. The record is from RefSeq and is a predicted model, not a curated record. The transcript is spliced from 3 exons.